CAAGAGCGUAUAUUAAAGUUGUUGCAGUUAAAAAGCUCGUAGUUGGAUUUCUGGAGGGAGCGUCGGCCCGUAUUUACGAGUGCGUGACGUCUCUGUCCAUCCUUGCGGGAAGGCACGGCAUUGAUUUGUUGUGUCGGAUCGCAUCAUUUACUGUGAAAAAAUUAGAGUGUUCAAAGCAGGCUUUCGCUUGAAUACAUUAGCAUGGAAUAAUAAGAUAGGACUUUGGUGCUAUUUUGUUGGUUGAGCCUAAAGUAAUGAUUAAUAGGGAUAGUUGGGGGCACCUGUAUUGCGUUGUCAGAGGUGAAAUUCUUGGAUUUACGCAAGACAAACAGCUGCGAAAGCGUCUGCCAAGGAUGUUUUCAUUAA
This 366-nucleotide ribosomal RNA is filed under the name uncultured eukaryote. RNAcentral describes it as "partial 18S ribosomal RNA". It matches the Rfam family "Eukaryotic small subunit ribosomal RNA", at positions 592 to 976 of the family's 1831-position model. The record is from RNAcentral.